GGGUCCGUAGUUUAAUUAAAACGCUUGCCUGAUAAGCAAGAAAUGUGGGUUCCAAUCCCAACGUGAGACCCG
This 72-nucleotide transfer RNA is filed under the name bacterium. RNAcentral's name for it is "tRNA-Ile". The stretch from base 6 to 63 matches the Rfam family "tRNA", at positions 6 to 65 of the family's 71-position model. Rfam says of the family: Transfer RNA (tRNA) molecules are approximately 80 nucleotides in length. The record is from RNAcentral.